RNAcentral lists this ribosomal RNA (366 nucleotides) under uncultured bacterium. RNAcentral describes it as "bacterial SSU rRNA". It matches the Rfam family "Bacterial small subunit ribosomal RNA", at positions 46 to 392 of the family's 1533-position model. The record is from RNAcentral.
GGCCGCGGGAAUUCGAUUCAGGCCUAACACAUGCAAGUCGAGCGAUUUACUUCGGUAAAGAGCGGCGGACGGGUGAGUAACGCGUGGGUAACCUGCCCUGUACACACGGAUAACAUACCGAAAGGUAUGCUAAUACGAGAUAAUAUGCUUUUAUCGCAUGGUAGAAGUAUCAAAGCUUUUGCGGUACAGGAUGGACCCGCGUCUGAUUAGCUAGUUGGUGAGGUAACGGCUCACCAAGGCGACGAUCAGUAGCCGACCUGAGAGGGUGAUCGGCCACAUUGGAACUGAGACACGGUCCAAACUCCUACGGGAGGCAGCAGUGGGGAAUAUUGCAAAGGGGGCGAAAGCCUGAUGCAGCAACGCCGC